RNAcentral lists this ribosomal RNA (255 nucleotides) under uncultured bacterium. RNAcentral's name for it is "partial 16S ribosomal RNA". It matches the Rfam family "Bacterial small subunit ribosomal RNA", at positions 524 to 776 of the family's 1533-position model. The record is from RNAcentral.
CACGUAGGCACCAAGCGUUGUCCGGAUUUAUUGGGCGUAAAGAGCUCGUAGGCGGUUCAGUAAGUCGGGUGUGAAAACUCUGGGCUCAACCCAGAGACGCCACCCGAUACUGCUGUGACUUGAGUACGGGUAGGGGAGUGGGGAAUUCCUGGUGUAGCGGUGAAAUGCGCAGAUAUCAGGAGGAACACCAGUGGCGAAGGCGCCACUCUGGGCCGUAACUGACGCUGAGGAGCGAAAGCGUGGGUAGCAAACAGG